AACGCUGGCGGCGUGCCUAAUACACGCAAGUAGAAACGCUGAAGAGAGGAGCUUGCUCUUCUUGGAAGAGUUUGCGAACGGGUGAGUAACGCGUAGGUAACCUGCCUUGUAGCGGGGGAUAACUAUUGGAAACGAUAGCUAAUACCGCAUAACAAUAGGUGACACAUGUCAUUUAUUUGAAAGGGGCAAUUCGCUCCACUACAAGAUGGACCUGCGUUGUAUUAGCUAGUAGGUGAGGUAACGGCUCACCUAGGCGACGAUACAUAGCCGACCUGAGAGGGUGAUCGGCCACACUGGGACUGAGACACGGCCCAGACUCCUACGGGAGGCAGCAGUAGGGAAUCUUCGGCAAUGGGGGCAACCCUGACCGAGCAACGCCGCGUGAGUGAAGAAGGUUUUCGGAUCGUAAAGCUCUGUUGUAAGUCAAGAACGAGUGUGAGAGUGGAAAGUUCACACUGUGACGGUAGCUUACCAGAAAGGGACGGCUAACUACGUGCCAGCAGCCGCGGUAAUACGUAGGUCCCGAGCGUUGUCCGGAUUUAUUGGGCGUAAAGCGAGCGCAGGCGGUUUGAUAAGUCUGAAGUUAAAGGCUGUGGCUCAACCAUAGUUCGCUUUGGAAACUGUCAAACUUGAGUGCAGAAGGGGAGAGUGGAAUUCCAUGUGUAGCGGUGAAAUGCGUAGAUAUAUGGAGGAACACCGGUGGCGAAAGCGGCUCUCUGGUCUGUAACUGACGCUGAGGCUCGAAAGCGUGGGGAGCGAACAGGAUUAGAUACCCUGGUAGUCCACGCCGUAAACGAUGAGUGCUAGGUGUUGGAUCCUUUCCGGGAUUCAGUGCCGCAGCUAACGCAUUAAGCACUCCGCCUGGGGAGUACGACCGCAAGGUUGAAACUCAAAGGAAUUGACGGGGGCCCGCACAAGCGGUGGAGCAUGUGGUUUAAUUCGAAGCAACGCGAAGAACCUUACCAGGUCUUGACAUCCCGAUGCUAUUUCUAGAGAUAGAAAGUUACUUCGGUACAUCGGUGACAGGUGGUGCAUGGUUGUCGUCAGCUCGUGUCGUGAGAUGUUGGGUUAAGUCCCGCAACGAGCGCAACCCCUAUUGUUAGUUGCCAUCAUUCAGUUGGGCACUCUAGCGAGACUGCCGGUAAUAAACCGGAGGAAGGUGGGGAUGACGUCAAAUCAUCAUGCCCCUUAUGACCUGGGCUACACACGUGCUACAAUGGUUGGUACAACGAGUUGCGAGUCGGUGACGGCAAGCUAAUCUCUUAAAGCCAAUCUCAGUUCGGAUUGUAGGCUGCAACUCGCCUACAUGAAGUCGGAAUCGCUAGUAAUCGCGGAUCAGCACGCCGCGGUGAAUACGUUCCCGGGCCUUGCACACACCGCCCGUC
RNAcentral lists this ribosomal RNA (1385 nucleotides) under uncultured bacterium. RNAcentral's name for it is "16S ribosomal RNA". It matches the Rfam family "Bacterial small subunit ribosomal RNA", at positions 32 to 1398 of the family's 1533-position model. The record is from RNAcentral.